Daphnia carinata is the source of this 769-nucleotide long non-coding RNA. RefSeq lists it as uncharacterized. The record is from RefSeq and is a predicted model, not a curated record. NCBI's taxonomy places the organism in Eukaryota, Metazoa, Arthropoda, Branchiopoda, Diplostraca, Daphniidae. The transcript is spliced from 6 exons.
CAGAAUUACAAACACAUUGUUGCAGCAGUCUUUCAGCGAUCAUUGUUUUUCAGUGCUCAGAUUAAUUUGGCUUAGCAUAACAGUACUUCGUAAGCACAGCACUUCUGGCUACUGUUUUACAUGCCACGUCUUCGUUUUUCGCCUUCUCGGAAUAGAGCUUUAGAGUGUGGGAGUGAAAAAUAUAAAGGCCAUAUUGGUGUUGAACAAUGGAUUCCUAUCCUAUCCCCCUCAAUUUGCCUGGAGUUCUAGCAAUGACGUCUUCCAUAGAAUAACCUUGGCAAUUUGGAGAAGUAGAAAAUCCUAUGUGUAUUUUCAUCUUGCCAGCUCAGUAGAGCACCAACUUCCACGACGAGCAAUUGUUAUUUCGACGAGAGGAACUUCACGCGUGAAGCAUUAUCGCCAAUGAAAUGAGAUGGCCGCCAAGAAGUUGUCAAAGAUAACCAGACCGGCAACCACCUUUCCAUCUCCUUGCUAUUCGGACCGACCUCGUCCUGUUUCGGACAUGUGGAAUACACUUUUACUGAAGAAUGAGGAAAGACUAAUCGACGAAGAAAGCGAAAUGGUGUGGUACUUCAAUGCCGUUAACGAAUUGUGAUGCAGUCUGCCAGAGAAAAAGUUGUACUAAACGUCAAAGGAUUUGCACUCAAACUGAAAAUGUUUUCUUCAUAAACAAGGGUGUAUUGAGAAAUGUCUUGUUCCUCCAAAGUGGUCCAUUUGAUUAUGCAGAACUUGUGUACCAGUACAAGUGGCGAGCACCAUAACAUAUGGC